Molecule: non-coding RNA, 24 nt
Filed under: Arabidopsis thaliana (thale cress)
Lineage: Eukaryota; Viridiplantae; Streptophyta; Magnoliopsida; Brassicales; Brassicaceae
Source: RNAcentral
CUGACUAGGAUGCCACAUGGAUAG